RNAcentral lists this non-coding RNA (217 nucleotides) under Thermotalea metallivorans. RNAcentral's name for it is "T-box sequence". It matches the Rfam family "T-box leader". Rfam says of the family: Uncharged tRNA acts as the effector for transcription antitermination of genes in the T-box leader family. The record is from RNAcentral. Lineage: Bacteria; Bacillati; Bacillota; Clostridia; Peptostreptococcales; Thermotaleaceae.
AAAAAGGCGAUGAAGAGACGGAGUACUAUACACCCAGUCAACAGAGAGAGGAUGUCGCGGCUGAAAGCAUCCUUUGACAUGGCUAUAGGAAAAACUAACUCAGAGCUGUAUCCCAGUAGUCUUAGGAUGAAAAGAUGUUCGUACCGGCAGCGUUAAUGCCGAAGAGUGGAUUUUAUCAAUUAGGGUGGAACCGCGGGAAUAACCUCUCGUCCCUUAG